UACGGAGGGUGCAAACGUUGCUCGGAAUCACUGGGCGUAAAGCGCACGUAGGCGGGUUGUUAAGUCGGGGGUGAAAUCCUGGAGCUCAACUCCAGAACUGCCUUCGAUACUGGCGACCUUGAGUCCGGGAGAGGUGAGUGGAACUCCGAGUGUAGAGGUGAAAUUCGUAGAUAUUCGGAAGAACACCAGUGGCGAAGGCGGCUCACUGGCCCGGUACUGACGCUGAGGUGCGAAAGCGUGGGGAGCAAACAGG
RNAcentral lists this ribosomal RNA (253 nucleotides) under uncultured bacterium. RNAcentral's name for it is "partial 16S ribosomal RNA". It matches the Rfam family "Bacterial small subunit ribosomal RNA", at positions 524 to 776 of the family's 1533-position model. The record is from RNAcentral.